Molecule: non-coding RNA, 26 nt
Filed under: Homo sapiens (human)
Lineage: Eukaryota; Metazoa; Chordata; Mammalia; Primates; Hominidae
Source: RNAcentral
UCAAGAGAGAUGAUGCCAGUAUGGAC